UGAGAGUUCAAGAGGGCGUGAAACCGCUUAGAAGCAAACAGAUGGACCUGAUGAAAAGUCGGCGGAAUUCAGUACUUUGAGUCACCUCCUGCCGGCGCUGGAUGUCUCACCAGUUGCCGAACAGUGAUGUGCCCAAGGGAUGCAUUUUUCGCCGAUGUGCACUGGAAGCUGUGUUUGUGCCGGAAAACCUCGGCGAAUGAGGGCCAAUUUUGUUGGUGUCCAUUUGGCUGGAAAAAGCCUGGUUGUGAGCACAGUUGAGAUGCACCCGCCUCUACUCUGGUAUGCCUGGCACUUUGCUCGGUUGGCUGAUUCUUGCUUGCAAGGUUUGGUGACUUUGUGGUGUUGGAAUGGGUGUGCGCAGAGUUGGUGCUAUUCUGGUGUUUCUGUCAGUGACCCAUCUGACCCGUCUUGAAACACGGACCAAGGAGUCUAACAUGUGCGCGAGUCAUUGGGUGGUGAAAUCCAUCGGCGCAAUGAAAGUGAAGUUCAGUUUGGCUGAAUGAAAUGGGACCCCGCUUUUAGCGGGUGCACCAUAGUCCCGUCUGAUCUGCUUGUCAGACAGGCGGAGAUGGAGCGUACAUGCUGGGACCCGAAAGAUGGUGAACUAUGCCUGAGCAGGAUGAAGUCAGAGGAAACUCUGAUGGAGGUCCAUAGCGAUUCUGACGUGCA
RNAcentral lists this ribosomal RNA (669 nucleotides) under Epsilonematidae sp. 659_6-1500. RNAcentral describes it as "eukaryotic LSU rRNA". It matches the Rfam family "Eukaryotic large subunit ribosomal RNA", at positions 382 to 895 of the family's 3401-position model. Lineage: Eukaryota; Metazoa; Nematoda; Chromadorea; Desmodorida; Epsilonematidae. The record is from RNAcentral.